CGCUGGCGGCAUGCUUUACACAUGCAAGUCGAACGGCAGCACGGGGGCAACCCUGGUGGCGAGUGGCGAACGGGUGAGUAAUAUAUCGGAACGUACCCAGGAGUGGGGGAUAACGUAGCGAAAGUUACGCUAAUACCGCAUACGACCUACGGGUGAAAGUGGGGGAUCGCAAGACCUCAUGCUCAUGGAGCGGCCGAUAUCUGAUUAGCUAGUUGGUGGGGUAAAGGCUCACCAAGGCAACGAUCAGUAGCUGGUCUGAGAGGACGACCAGCCACACUGGAACUGAGACACGGUCCAGACUCCUACGGGAGGCAGCAGUGGGGAAUUUUGGACAAUGGGGGCAACCCUGAUCCAGCAGUGCCGCGUGAGUGAAGAAGGCCUUCGGGUUGUAAAGCUCUUUUGUCAGGGAAGAAACGACCCCUUCUAAUACAGGGGGGUAAUGACGGUACCUGAAGAAUAAGCACCGGCU
This 469-nucleotide ribosomal RNA is filed under the name uncultured bacterium. RNAcentral's name for it is "bacterial SSU rRNA". It matches the Rfam family "Bacterial small subunit ribosomal RNA", at positions 34 to 498 of the family's 1533-position model. The record is from RNAcentral.